Trifolium pratense (red clover) is the source of this 5379-nucleotide RNA transcript. It is a transcript of the gene named F-box/kelch-repeat protein At1g57790-like, with no coding region annotated. The record is from RefSeq and is a predicted model, not a curated record. The transcript is spliced from 3 exons. Lineage: Eukaryota; Viridiplantae; Streptophyta; Magnoliopsida; Fabales; Fabaceae.
AACUCAACUUGAUUCAUUCAUUUUCAUUGAUAUAUAUACACGUGCUUUCUUCGCUUUCUCUUCUUGUUGACACACUUUUCAUUUCACUUCCUCUCUCUACAACUUGAACAACAACGCAACUUCAUCACAGCACAGAGUCAAUUUCGAUUAAUGUCGGGGAGAAAGAGGAGGAAGUUGAAAUUGUUGAGUGAUACAAUUGCUAACAGCAGAAGAGGAGCAACAGAGGUGAAAAAUGAUAAUUUGGAGCUGCAAACAUGGUCUGAUCUCCCCGCUGAACUCUUACAAAUAAUCAUGUCUCAAUUACCCCUAGACGACAAUGUCCGUGCUUCUGUUGUUUGCAAGAGUUGGUAUUCUGUUGCUAAUGCUGUACGCGUGGUGAAUCAAUCACCAUGGUUAAUGUAUUUUCCAAAAUUUGGUCAGUGGUAUGAGUUCUAUGACCCUGUGCAGCGGAAGACAUAUUCUAUUGAGUUUCCAGAGUUGAAUGGAUCUAGAGUUUGUUAUACAAAAGAUGGUUGGUUACUGCUAUACCGGCCAAGAACUGACCGGGUGUUCUUCUUUAACCCCUUCACUCGGGAGACCAUCAAAAUGCCAAGAUUUGAGAUGACAUACCAGAUAGUUGCUUUUUCUUGUGCUCCAACAUCACCUAACUGUGUUCUGUUCACUGUUAAGCAUGUUAGUCCUACUGUUGUGGCCAUUAGCACAUGUCACCCUGGGGCAACCGAGUGGACCACUGUUAAUUACCAAAACCGCUUGCCCUUUGUCAGUAGCAUAUGGAAUAAACUUGUGUUUUGUAAUGGACUCUUUUAUUGCCUGAGUUUAACAGGUUGGCUAGGGGUGUUUGAUCCAUCUGAACGCACUUGGAGUGUUCUAUCGGUACCUCCACCCAAAUGCCCUGAGAAUUUUUUCGCCAAAAAUUGGUGGAAGGGGAAAUUUAUGACCGAGCAAGAGGGAGAUGUAAUAGUAAUAUAUACUUGUUCUAGUGAAAACCCUAUUAUUUUCAAGUUAGACCAGGCAUUAAUGGAAUGGGAAGAGCUAAAAACACUAGAUGGAGCAACUCUUUUUGCUAGUUUCUUGUCUUCCCAUUCAAGGAUCGACCUCCCUGGAAUGAUGAGGAACAGUAUCUACUUCUCUAAAGUUCGUUUUUAUGGAAAGCGUUGCAUAUCAUUCUCUCUUGAUGACUAUCGAUACUAUCCUCGUAAGCAGUGGCAUGACUGGGGUGAACAAGACCCUUUCGAAAGCAUAUGGAUUGAACCACCAAAGGACUUCUCCGGAUUCACUUGAAGAAUUUUUGUGAAACAGAUGAUUAUUUCCAAAUCAGUAAUGUGUAGAGGUAUUUGUUUUCACUUGGUUUUUAGCUUUGUUUUAUAACUUCUGGUUAUAUGCUUUGAUACUAAUGCAUAAUAAGCUAGUUUGUGGUUUGCUUUGCUAAAUUUUAUGUAUAUUUGUAACAGUUCAUCAACAUCAUUGAUGUUUUAUUAUUUCAUUUGACUAUCAAUGCUUACUACCUGCAAUGUAAUCUAGGAUUCAUCGUUCAUUUGUUCUUAUCUACAUUAACUUAUAGGUUUUGAAUUUGAUCCACUCACAUUGUAAAAAAAAUAAAUUAGUACACUAUCAUCUAGUAAUUAUUUAUUGACAUCUCACUAAAAUAGUUGGACUGUAAUAAUAGCUAUCUAAAAAGUCAAACAUGAUUGAAUUGAGAAUAUAAAAAACUGUGAAUGUCAAAAAAAAUUAAAUUCAGCCAUAUGUUUCAUUUACAAUUCUAAAAAAUGUUUACAUUUGCAAAAAUGUUUUGUAGCAUCUCCCAUUUCAGUUCUGGUCGUAACUCAUAAAUAAUACUUUGCAUUUACUGCACCUUUUUACAUAAAAGCUCUUGUAAAUGCUAAUCAAUAUUUUUAAAGUGGGAUGGAUACUGUCAAUGUUUAAUUGAAAGUAGCCAUGGUCAUAUCAUUGGCUUUGGAAAACAGAAAAGGGAUUGCAGUUCUGCAAUACAUAAUGUUUUCUGUACAUUUGUGCAUUAUACAUACUAGUGUACUACAUUGAUUUAAGCAAGAGAGGUCACUUGUUUAUUGGGAUUUCUGGCUUGUGUGAACUUUAUAUGAAUAAUCACAAUUACAAUAUUACUUCAUGUGUGUUUGUGUUGAAUUGUUUGUUAAUAUCUUAUUUAGUUCAUCUAUUUUUAUUUAACAAUCAGCUUUUAUAAAACUUCUGCCUACAUUCCAUAUAAUGCCUAAUUUGUUUACAAACUUUACAUAGUUUGUCAAGGUAGUAAGGCGUAAGUUUGCUCUGUAACUUUCUUAGUAGGGAGGGGAAGGAAAGAAGGAAGAAUAACUAUUAGGGUAAAAUUUUAUUAAGCCAAGAAUAUCUUAUUAUUGGUUUCCUUCAUGUUGUAGAAAAGAUGGUUGAUCUCAAUUUAGGUGGUUUGGACAUGUGUGGAGAAGACAUAGAUUUUGUAGUAAGGAGACAUAGAGAGUAUAUCAGAUGGAGGGUGAAAAGCCAAGAAAAACUAAGAGAAACUAUUAGGAAAGACCUGAAGGUUAAUGGUUUUGUUGCAGAUAUGAUUUAUGAUAGAAUGUUAUAUUGGUAUAGCCGUAUAGCUUACUAGAGCUCAGGCUUUGGUUGUUGUUAAGAAACAUGGCAUCCAUGGAUAAAGUUGAGAGAAAGCUAGAAAAACUCUUUGAAUUGAUCAAAAUAGAAUAUUACAAAGGAGAAAGAUGAGUACAAAUGACUAGAGCAAAGUCUAUUCAUAGGCUAACUGACUGACUAACUAACUAGUAACUAUAAAAACUAAUUUGAUCUCAAUUGCCUCCUGCAAGCUGGAAGGUGUUCACAACACUUCUAGUUCGGGGUGACUAAUACAAAAUACAUCAAAAUGGAAGAAUAUACUGUCAAGAAUUAUGGCUUGAUACCUUUCUCAUUGUUAUUUCUUGUAUAUAUAGAGGUUACAAGGUUAUACAGGUAAUUACACUAAAUAAUUACAUUUAAUGAGAACAAAUCAAUGUCUGAUUUGUUUUCCUUAUUCUAGGAACAAACUAAUAAAUAUAAUUAAGAGGACAAGUCAACUUCUUAUUCACAUCCCCCCUCAAAUUGAUGCGGUUGGUCAAUGAACAUCAAUUUUGCUAACAAGAAACUGAUGGCGUGGGCGUGGAACAACUUUAGUAAGAAUAUCUGCAACUUGAAACUGAGUACUGACAUGAGGAAGUGCUAUAAGUCGGUCAUCAUAUGCAUCACAGAUUGAAUGACAAUCGAUUUCGAUAUGUUUGGUGCGUUCAUGAAAGACAGGAUUUGCAACAAUCUGGAUGACACUUGUAUUGUCGGCAUAAAGUGACGUAGGCUCAGUUUGAGGAAGUCCAAGUUCAGCCAAAAGACCACGUAACCAAAUAAUUUCCGAGCAAGCAACAGACAUGGCGCGAUACUCAGAUUCAGUAGAGGAUUUAGAGACUCUUGCUUGCUUCUUACUUUUCCAUGAGAUCAACGAAGAACCAAGAAACAUGCACCAACCAGUUACAGAUCGACGAGUGUCAGGACACCCUGCCCAAUCAACAUCACUAUAAGCACGCAAUUUAGGAGCUAUUCCGGUGGGGCAAUAAGAGAUAAUAUGGUCCCGCUGCUUGCAAUAGUUACAAAACUUCUUACCACCGCAACUAUGAGCAUAAUGUCCAAAUUGGUUGCAAGAGAAGCAUUGAAUUUGUCGAACAUCACGACCUUUACCUCUACUCUGAGCAGCAUAUGCAAUCGUAACAGGCUAAAAAAUGACAGCAUCAAGAGACAUGGCUCCUUGAGUAGCAAGACGUUGUUCCUCUCGGAGAAGUUCACCAACACAUGUAUUUAAAGAAGGAACAGGGUUCCUAUUCAGCAAAACACCUCUAACAACCUCAAAUUCUGGACGGAGCUUCAUGAGAAAUUGAUCUCGCCUACUAGUAUUGUAGACCUCUUGGACAACCGCAAGAGAACUCUCAGGGACCUUAGCAUGGAUUAUUGCAGAGUGUUCUGUCCACAAAUUCAGAAAUCCAGAAUAAUACUCUUGAACAAAUAAAUUACCGUGUUUGUAAUUGGCUAUCUCUUGCUCCAACUGAAAACGUCUGACAUCAUUAUCUUGGUCAUAAAUACGCUUCAAGUAAUUCCACAUUUCUUGAGCAGUAGAAAAAGCUCGCAAAUUAUUAAUCAUCUGAGGAUCAAUAGUACUAAGAAUCCAAGUGAUAAUUUUUGUAUCUUUGGUUUCCCAUUCAUUUAAAUCAGUUGUCUCUAAUGGUGUCAGAGACAUCAUCUAAGUGACUCCAUAAUCCCUCCACUUUAACAUAAUGCCUAAACUGAAAUUCCCAAGCAGGAUAAUUUUUACCGGUAAAACGGACACAAGAAAUUGCUUUUUCUGAAGCCAUUAUAGCGAAGCAAAGGGAACAAGACAGUAACAACGAUGGGCAGUGAACAAAGGCUUGUGAAUGGAAAUUUGGACAAGUGAAUAAAAUAAAAUGAAGUGGCUGGAAAGGUUGUUGACAAGUAUCAAGUAAAAAACCAAUACGCAAACUACAAGCAGUGACCUCCUUUAUAUAUAAUUUUUUUUUUAACCCCGUACAGCCAGAAAAAAAAAAACAAAUAUGAUAAAAGGCAAGUACCAAUUUGCAAUACGACAAUCAGAUCAGGAACCGCGAACACUGUCACGAUAUGAACAACCAAGGAGCGGCAGCAAUCAGAAUCUGAUUGCAAAAGAACGACCAGGAACCGAGAAGACCAAAUCAAGAGACGGCGAGGAACCGCGGACAGCAAAAAUCAGGGUUUCGAAAAUGAUGAAACCGACGGAAACAAUUUCAAGAGCGAGACCUGGUGGGGUGUCACUGAACCAAACCAAGAUGAGCAAAGAUGUUACAGCUGAACUAGUUUGUUGUGCAACUUGUACCAAUUUUUUAAAUAGGGAGUUGAAAGUCAAUGUAUGAAACUCUAUGUUGGAAUGCAGCAUUUUCAAACAGCUAGUUGUCUUAGUGCAGUAAAGCAAUUCUUAAUCCGGGCAUGAAAUUUUUUCCAUACUGCAGUUUCAGAGUUCCUGGUUAUCUCUUUGGGGUGUAGUAGUUCAUUAGUAAAGCUCAUUUCGAAGCAUGCCAAAGGCAGCAUCUUUACGGGCUAUACAUCGGAGGCUACUAAUAUAUGAAGGAAUCAGAUCUGUUGGGGCAUACUAAAGACUCAGUCCCUUGAUUAUCCUGUCUCUGCUGAUCUAAAAAUUUCAAGAUUUUUCCCAGCAUAGGGAUGUAGUGCUUAUAUGCAAAACAAUUGGAGUUCAUGCAUUGAGUACUGAUUACUUACAGCUUUAUUGAUAUUUAUUUUGGACAUGUGAUUUAUAGAUUCAUAUAGAUGGUUAUUUAAAUUUCAUUUUCUGUUUGGUUGGAUUCA